Molecule: long non-coding RNA, 615 nt
Organism: Myodes glareolus (Bank vole)
Lineage: Eukaryota; Metazoa; Chordata; Mammalia; Rodentia; Cricetidae
Source: RefSeq, a predicted model, not a curated record
CUCUUCCCCCCUCCCCCCCAGCCGUCGGGGGGCACAGAGGACCGCGACUCUGGCCUCCCACCCCAACGAGCGACUCAAGCUCUCUCGAGGGGAGCUGGCAGUCAGAUCCCUGCCUGCCCAUAGCCAUAGAGUGUCAGUAUGGCUGGGGGACAGGACAUCAGCCCUCUUUGGGCUUGGCCUUUGGGAGGACAAGGACUUCACCACCACCACCACCACCACCACCUUUCCUGCUGGCUCUAAGAAUGAAACAGGGAGCUGGGAUGAUGAACUUUCUGGACCCUGACUGAGGGCAGCAAGGAAAUGAAGAAAGGACAGACAUGCAGACACAUGUACAGGAUAUCUGGGGUCCAUAUGCAGGAUGCACUUGGAUGGAGGGUGCCUACCAGCCGGGAACCUCAGCCUAUUUAAGAGGUACAGCACAAGCUGGGGGUGGGGCUGGCUAGUCCUGCUCAAGGUCUCCUUUGGUGAGCUGUCCCAGGCUGUAAGCAUGCAGGAGGAAGAGCUGCACUGCUAACCUUUGAACACACUGGCCUUCUCCCUUACACUCCGAUGUGGGGGAAAGCAUCACCAUCACUCUCGAGCCUGACUUUUUUGGUAAAAUGGCUUUGCAAGCUU